CGUAAUCACUUGUCUUUUAAAUGGAGACCAGUAUGAAUGGCAUAACGAGGGCCAAGCUGUCUCCUUUUUCCAGUCAAUGAAAUUGAUCUCUCUGUGCAGAAGCAGGGAUAUAAACAUAAGACGAGAAGACCCUAUGGAGCUUAAGACACAAGACAGCCCAUGUUAAAAACCCACAAUUAAUGGAAAAAACCAAAUGGCCUCUGUCCUCCUGUCUUUGGUUGGGGCGACCAUGGAGUAACAAAAAACCCCCAUGUGGAACAGGGCCUAAGCCCUUAAAGCAAGAGCCACAGCUCUAGCAAACAGAACAUCUGACCUUCAAGAUCCGGCAAGACCGAUCAACGGACCGAGUUACCCUAGGGAUAACAGCGCAAUCCCCUUUUAGAGCCCAUAUCGACAAGGGGGUUUACGACCUCGAUGUUGGAUCAGGACACCCUAAUGGUGCAGCCGCUAUUAAGGGUUCGUUUGUUCAACGAUU
This 475-nucleotide ribosomal RNA is filed under the name Periophthalmus gracilis (slender mudskipper). Its description in RNAcentral is "partial 16S ribosomal RNA". It matches the Rfam family "Bacterial large subunit ribosomal RNA", at positions 1960 to 2589 of the family's 2925-position model. Lineage: Eukaryota; Metazoa; Chordata; Actinopteri; Gobiiformes; Gobiidae. The record is from RNAcentral.